GUAACUAGGAGACCAUGUCCCUUGGCAUAAGUAUUGAUCUUCAAUAAUUUGUCCUUGAUAUUGAGAGAAGAGGAUCAAACUAUUUGAACCGGAUUGCUGUACUUCAACAUGUAAAGUGAAAAUGCAGACCCAGUUGACUAUAUUUCACUCAUUUGGGCCAAAGAAGCAGAAGUUUAUUAACAAAGAAGGAGAAUAACAAAAGAAAUAUAAGAUGGAAAGAAAAGCAAAAAGAAAGAAAACUAAAGAAAAAGCAAAAGAAAGAAUACUAAAUCUGAAAUACAUUUUCGUCCCCAAAUCAAGAACUAUCUCCUAUUACAUCUAUAUUGUUCAUCACUAGAAGCAGAAAAAUAGACUAUUACAGCAUAAAAUAGAGAACAAAAAGAAAGUUACAGCAGUGCC
This 399-nucleotide long non-coding RNA is filed under the name Homo sapiens (human). RNAcentral describes it as "HSALNT0070632". Lineage: Eukaryota; Metazoa; Chordata; Mammalia; Primates; Hominidae. The record is from RNAcentral.